Molecule: ribosomal RNA, 650 nt
Filed under: Rhodococcus opacus
Lineage: Bacteria; Bacillati; Actinomycetota; Actinomycetes; Mycobacteriales; Nocardiaceae
Description: bacterial SSU rRNA
Rfam family: Bacterial small subunit ribosomal RNA
Source: RNAcentral
GGCGUGCUUAACACAUGCAAGUCGAGCGGUAAGGCCCUUCGGGGUACACGAGCGGCGAACGGGUGAGUAACACGUGGGUGAUCUGCCCUGCACUUCGGGAUAAGCCUGGGAAACUGGGUCUAAUACCGGAUAUGACCAAUGGCUGCAUGGCUGUUGGUGGAAAGGUUUACUGGUGCAGGAUGGGCCCGCGGCCUAUCAGCUUGUUGGUGGGGUAAUGGCCUACCAAGGCGACGACGGGUAGCCGACCUGAGAGGGUGACCGGCCACACUGGGACUGAGACACGGCCCAGACUCCUACGGGAGGCAGCAGUGGGGAAUAUUGCACAAUGGGCGAAAGCCUGAUGCAGCGACGCCGCGUGAGGGAUGACGGCCUUCGGGUUGUAAACCUCUUUCAGCAGGGACGAAGCGAAAGUGACGGUACCUGCAGAAGAAGCACCGGCCAACUACGUGCCAGCAGCCGCGGUAAUACGUAGGGUGCAAGCGUUGUCCGGAAUUACUGGGCGUAAAGAGCUCGUAGGCGGUUUGUCGCGUCGUCUGUGAAAACUCGAGGCUCAACCUCGAGCUUGCAGGCGAUACGGGCAGACUUGAGUACUGCAGGGGAGACUGGAAUUCCUGGUGUAGCGGUGAAAUGCGCAGAUAUCAGGAGGAACA